Pelobates cultripes (western spadefoot toad) is the source of this 606-nucleotide non-coding RNA. The record is from the annotation of a GenBank genome assembly. Lineage: Eukaryota; Metazoa; Chordata; Amphibia; Anura; Pelobatidae.
UUUAAUUCUAUGCACCAUCACCGCUACGAAUAUCUCCAUAUUUAUUGUAAUGUGAAGUAUCUUUGGGUGCAGUCCCAUGAUUUCGGCAAGUUGCUUUUGACUGGCUUGAGAAAAAUUGUGGCUCUUACGACACACAGCCCGUUUCCAAAGCGUCUACCAGUGCUCAAAGCCUUCCAUUGCCAUUCAAAUUUAGACCAAUAAUAAAUUGAAAUUCCAUAUUAUCGUGGUGGCAGACAAGGUACCAAGCUUUGGGUGAAGUGAGAGCCCCAGUUUUUGUCAAACAUUUCAUUGCAAGGUUAAGAUUGCCUCUGGUUGUGGUCAUUCAGACAACUGCAAAAGGGCACUUCCUGUGUGCUAGGCGACUUUUGGUCGCCUGACGCUGGAUGUCCUCUUGCACUGGACAAGGACAACCAGUGUCAAUAAAAUCCCCUUAGCAAAGCAAUGCUUUCCUAUGGGGAGAUUGUAUUGCACUUGACACACAUUAGUGCCCCUCCUUCGGGUGACUUUGCAUGCGCGCUUUGAGCCAGCAAAGGAAAGGAGUGUGCAUUUGGACUCCUACCACCAUAUCACUUUCACCCUGCACAUCCAGACUCCUACCACCAUGAC